RNAcentral lists this ribosomal RNA (482 nucleotides) under uncultured bacterium. Its description in RNAcentral is "partial 16S ribosomal RNA". It matches the Rfam family "Bacterial small subunit ribosomal RNA", at positions 30 to 507 of the family's 1533-position model. The record is from RNAcentral.
AUUGAACGCUGGCGGCAUGCUUUACACAUGCAAGUCGAACGGUAACAGGCCGCAAGGUGCUGACGAGUGGCGGACGGGUGAGUAAUGCUUCGGAACGUGCCCAGUCGUGGGGGGUAACUACUCGAAAGAGUAGCUAAUACCGCAUACGACCUAUGGAUGAAAGCGGGGGACCGUAAGGCUUCGCGCGACUGGAGCGGCCGAUGUCAGAUUAGGUAGUUGGUGGGGUAAAGGCUCACCAAGCCAACGAACUGUAGCUGGUCUGAGAGGACAACCAGCAACACGGGAACUGGGACACGGCCCAGACUCCUACGGGAGGCAGCGGUGGGGAAUUUUGGACAAUGGGCGCAAGCCUGAUCCAGCAAUGCCGCGUGCAGGAAGAAGGCCUUCGGUUUGUAAACUGCUUUUGUACUGAACGAAACGGCUCUGGUUAAUACCCGGGGCUAAUGACGGUACCGUAAGAAUAAGCACCGGCUAACUACGUG